UAUGUCUUAAUUACAUUAAAAAAAACUUACUCUACCUCCAAACACUUGCUCCCAAACGAAGUGUAACUCUUCAAUGCAAAAAUAAGCAUUUCUAGGAAAUACAGAUCAAUCUAGCCAAGUAAAAAAUAGACCCAGAAAAGAUUCAAAAGAAAAGAAACCAUUGGAUUAUUGAUGUAUCACAGGUCAAUAACAUUUUUAAGCAAAGAAUUAAUAGCAGGUAGCUUCAUGAGGAAAAACUAAGAAUCAAGGGCAGAAAGAAAUAAAUUGACGAAAACCCAACUGCAAAGCUUAAUUUAACAAAGGAGAAAGAAUAAUAUGAGAUAGGAUCGAAGAGGAGGAAAGCAAGAAAGAAAUCAGAGAAAUUGUUAAGCAAGAAAGUCUCUUACCCUCUGUAGAACAUUCUCUCAACAAUUUGUUUUCUUUUCUAACACUUGUUCCUUCUUCCUUGAUUUCUCGAUUUCUUCCUUCCUUCCUUCCUUUGCCCUUAACUCGGCUCUCAACUCGAAGCUCUUUCUGCGUGUAGUGUAGGGCCUACCGGGCGGACGUAGACGAUGAAAAUGUGUUAGACAACGACGUCGUUCGCUCCUUCACUCAAAAGGAUUGGAUUUUGUGGGAUGGGGUGAACAUGGCCCAAGGUACCAUCUUUGGGCUAAAAUUAAAAAGCCCACAUCGGUUCUAGUCCAAUUGCCGGCCGGCUGAGGACGGCGGGGUUUGGUGGCUGUGGAUGGUAGGCCAAAUGUGACUGUUGCAGUCGUGAAUGGGUGAAUUUGGAGACUUUAUUUCCCGCAAGUAGAGUCUAC
Molecule: unclassified non-coding RNA, 800 nt
Filed under: Hevea brasiliensis (rubber tree)
Lineage: Eukaryota; Viridiplantae; Streptophyta; Magnoliopsida; Malpighiales; Euphorbiaceae
Source: RNAcentral